AGAAUCAACGCUGGCGGCGUGCCUAACACAUGCAAGUCGAACGAGAAAGUGGAGCAAUCCACGAGUAAAGUGGCGCACGGGUGAGUAACACGUGACUAACCUACCCUGGAGUGGGGGAUAACUGAGGGAAACCUUAGCUAAUACCGCAUAAUACCCACGGGUCAAAGGAGCAAUUCGCUUCAGGAGGGGGUCGCGGCCGAUUAGUUAGUUGGCGGGGUAAUGGCCCACCAAGACGAUGAUCGGUAUCCGGCCUGAGAGGGCGCGACGGACGACGACUGGAACUGAAACACGGUCCAGACUCCUACGGGAGGCAGCAGUGGGGAAUUUGCGCAAUGGGGGAAACCCUGACGCAGCAACGCCGCGUGGAGGAUGAAGUCCUUCGGGACGUAAACUCCUUUCGAUCGGGACGAUUAUGACGGUACCGGAAGAAGAAGCCCGGCUAACUUCGUGCCAGCAGCCGC
Molecule: ribosomal RNA, 461 nt
Filed under: uncultured bacterium
Lineage: Bacteria
Description: SSU rRNA
Rfam family: Bacterial small subunit ribosomal RNA
Source: RNAcentral